This is a long non-coding RNA of Amphimedon queenslandica, 299 nucleotides long. RefSeq lists it as uncharacterized. The record is from RefSeq and is a predicted model, not a curated record. NCBI's taxonomy places the organism in Eukaryota, Metazoa, Porifera, Demospongiae, Haplosclerida, Niphatidae. The transcript has 3 exons.
AUUUUACAGCUCAUUAUUAUCACUUAAAGGCCAGCAACAAUUCAUUGGGGACAUUGGAAUCAUAUAUUUAUGAACUAAAUGACUUUUGUAGACAGUUAAAGCAAAUAUCAGAGAAAGACUCAGAGUCAUUAUUAGGUGUGUUUCAUGGAAUGUUAUCAAUAAUAGAAAGAUAAAUUAAAACCUCAAAUCAAUAACAAUAACUUUCUGUAUAUGAGACAGUUUGAGAAUGUAAACUAAACUUGAUGUUCUUAAAAUAUUGAGGAAUGUGUUAAUUGAGUUACUACUUCUAAGAUUUUAAU